This 562-nucleotide ribosomal RNA is filed under the name uncultured bacterium. RNAcentral's name for it is "bacterial SSU rRNA". It matches the Rfam family "Bacterial small subunit ribosomal RNA", at positions 338 to 917 of the family's 1533-position model. The record is from RNAcentral.
CCUACGGGAGGCAGCAGUGGGGAAUAUUGGACAAUGGGCGAAAGCCUGAUCCAGCAAUGCCGCGUGAGUGAUGAAGGCCUUCGGGUCGUAAAGCUCUUUUACCAGGGAUGAUAAUGACAGUACCUGGAGAAUAAGCUCCGGCUAACUCCGUGCCAGCAGCCGCGGUAAUACGGAGGGAGCUAGCGUUGUUCGGAAUUACUGGGCGUAAAGAGUACGUAGGCGGUUAUUCAAGUCAGAGGUGAAAGCCCGGGGCUCAACCCCGGAACUGCCUUUGAAACUAGAUAACUAGAGUCUUGGAGAGGUUAGUGGAAUUCCGAGUGUAGAGGUGAAAUUCGUAGAUAUUCGGAAGAACACCAGUGGCGAAGGCGACUAACUGGACAAGUACUGACGCUGAGGUACGAAAGCGUGGGGAGCAAACAGGAUUAGAUACCCUGGUAGUCCACGCCGUAAACGAUGAUAACUAGUUGUUCGGUCACUUGGUGACUGAGUGACGCAGCUAACGCAUUAAGUUAUCCGCCUGGGGAGUACGGUCGCAAGAUUAAAACUCAAAGGAAUUAGACGG